RNAcentral lists this long non-coding RNA (485 nucleotides) under Homo sapiens (human). RNAcentral's name for it is "HSALNT0348163". Lineage: Eukaryota; Metazoa; Chordata; Mammalia; Primates; Hominidae. The record is from RNAcentral.
GUCAUUUGAAGAGCUCUAAUCACAGGCUUUAGAUGUUCACAGAACAAUCAUCAAGAGGCCAUUUACUGAAAAGGACAUCUGUCCUGGAAAAUAGAAACUUCAUUUAUAAUAUUGUUUCUACUAAUGAGGAUUAUGUCAAGACUGAUAAGAGUUUUUAUAUCUGUUUGCAGAGUUCAAGAUUUCAACAUUUUAAGAUAAUCUGAAAAAAAUUGGAAUGUGCCCCCAGCUGCCAAUACUCUCUCAACACUGUUUAUCAAAGGAACCAAUAUGGAAGGAAAAACAUUGCUUUGAAGGGAAGAUGGAUGGAUCCCCUAGUAAACUACAGCUUGAGGUGCAAUUUCCUAAAGUUCAAAUGCCUGAAAAAGGAAACGAAAGAAAGAAACUCAACUCUUGAGACAGCUUCAAUGCUAGCUUUGAUCUCAAUUAUAGAGUUAUUUAUGAAAAGUGCAUUUUUACAACUAAAAAUAAAUUAGGAUCAAAAGCUU